This is a long non-coding RNA of Cicer arietinum (chickpea), 902 nucleotides long. RefSeq lists it as uncharacterized. The record is from RefSeq and is a predicted model, not a curated record. Lineage: Eukaryota; Viridiplantae; Streptophyta; Magnoliopsida; Fabales; Fabaceae.
UGUUCAUAGUUUGUGUUUGGCUUGGUAGAUUCUCUUUCUCUCUUUCUCUCUCUACAUAUAUAAUAUUAGAAUGUGGAAAGAGUAUAUUCUGUUAGGGUUUCCCUAAGUUUUUCAGUUAUAAAUAGCAAAGUGUGAAUGAGGGUUUGGUCAUGACAAUUAUAUACAUAUUUAGUUCAUUUCAUUGAAUCAAUUGGACUCAAAAUUUAAUAUAAUUAGGAGAUUUGCUAGCUAUACAUAUAUAUAGUCGUUGUUUGCAGGUGCAGCAGCAUCAAGAUUCACAUACAAAUUCUUUAACAUCUUUAAUUAAUUGGUGUUAUUAACUACACUAAUUAAGGAGAGUGUUUUGGUAUAUUGAGAAUCUUGAUGAUGCUGCAUCAGCAAUAAAUGAUUUCAACCUCAGAUCUUGGAUCCCUUAAUAUGGUUCUUUUUCAUGUUCAAGUCAGAAUCUCUGAGGGGUCAGACAUUAUAUGAUAUCUAGACAGAUUAAAUUAUGUUAUGUCUUGUUCUAUCUCUGCUCGCUCUCUGGCAUCAGUAAUCAUUCUAGCUGGAUGAUAGUCCGGGUGCGGGAGCAACUAUACUGUUGAAAAUAUUUUAGAUACAAAAAUUCAACACUAAGAUCUACUUCCGUUGUUCUUCUAUUAAGCCAAAUCAAAAUUCUAAUAUCACUUGCAGAGGAAUACAGAAUUACGAGAGCAACAACAUAUCAAGAGUUCUAAGCUUCGAAGAGAUUUUGACAGUACAUAUUUAUCAAAAACUUUAAUGUAUUAAGUAUAUAAAUUACUUUUAUUAUAUAUUCAACUCAUUAUCAUUUAUAGGUGAUGUGAGACUUAUUCAUUCAUAAUUGAGUUCAACUUGAUUGUUGACUGUCCAAGUAUAUCGAUAUAAAGUAUUCAUUUUAAUUA